GUAAUUUUUUCGAAAAUUAUAACUGGUAGCGGAACGUUCUGUAAGCCUGUGAAGGGAUACCCGUGAGGGAUCCUGGAGGUAUCAGAAGUGCGAAUGCUGACAUAAGUAACGAUAAAAGAAGUGAAAAACUUCUUCGCCGAAAAUCCAAGGGUUUCUGCGCAAGGUUAAUCCGCGCAGAGUUAGUCGGCACCUAAGGCGAGGGCGAAAGCCGUAGUCGAUGGAAAUAAGGUUAAUAUUCCUUAACCAGAUGGUAGUGACGGAUCUUGUAAGUUGUAAGUUCUUAAUGGAUUGAAUUUGCCGCGAAAAGGUUCCAAGAAAUAGCUCCAUCAUAAGACCGUACCCUAAACCGACACAGGUGGAUUAAUAGAGUAUAUUUAGGCGCUUGAGAGAAUGAUGUUGAAGGAACUCGGCAAAAUACUUCCGUAACUUCGGGAUAAGGAAGACCUUUUUGUAGGCAACUAUAAGAGGGUGGCACAAGCCAGGGAGAAGCGACUGUUUAUCAAAAACACAGGGCUCUGCUAACACGUAAGUGGAUGUAUAGGGUCUGACGCCUGCCCGGUGCUGGAAGGUUAAUGCGGUUGGUGCAAGCUAACUUCUGAAGCCCCAGUAAACGGCGGCCGUAACUAUAACGGUCCUAAGGUAGCGAAAUUCCUUGUCGGGUAAGUUCCGACCUGCAUGAAUGGCGUAACGAUUUCUCCGCUGUCUCCAACAUCAACUCAGUGAAAUUGAAUUCUCCGUGAAGAUGCGGAGUUCGCGUAGUUAGACGGAAAGACCCCGUGCACCUUUACUGCAACUUUACAUUGGUAUUAGGAAAAACAUAUUUAGUAUAGGAGGGAGACAUUGAAGCAAAGGCGUCAGCUUUUGUGGAGUCACCAGUGAAAUACCUCUUUUGUUUUUCUUGGUAUCUAACUGACUGCCGUUAUCCGGCGUCAAGACAUUGUAUGGUGGGUAGUUUGACUGGGGCGGUCGCCUCCCAAAUAGUAACGGAGGCGUGCGAAGGUAGGCUCAGAACGGUCAGAAAUCGUUCGUAGAGUGCAAUGGCAUAAGCCUGCCUGACUGUGAGACUGACAAGUCGAGCAGAGACGAAAGUCGGUCAUAGUGAUCCGGUGGUUCUGAGUGGAAGGGCCAUCGCUCAACGGAUAAAAGGUACGCCGGGGAUAACAGGCUGAUACUGCCCAAGAGC
This 1183-nucleotide ribosomal RNA is filed under the name marine metagenome. RNAcentral describes it as "bacterial LSU rRNA". It matches the Rfam family "Bacterial large subunit ribosomal RNA", at positions 1210 to 2499 of the family's 2925-position model. The record is from RNAcentral.